Molecule: ribosomal RNA, 426 nt
Filed under: uncultured bacterium
Lineage: Bacteria
Description: bacterial SSU rRNA
Rfam family: Bacterial small subunit ribosomal RNA
Source: RNAcentral
UGGGGAAUCUUGGUCAAUGGGCGCAAGCCUGAACCAGCGAUGCCGCGUGAGUGAUGAAGGCCUUCGGGUUGUAAAGCUCUGUGGGGAGGGACGAAAGAAUCGGUUCUAACAGGACCGAAGUUGACGGUACCUCCUUAGCAAGCACCGGCUAACUCUGUGCCAGCAGCCGCGGUAAGACAGAGGGUGCAAACGUUGCUCGGAAUCACUGGGCGUAAAGGGCGUGUAGGCGGGUAGGCAAGUCGGGCGUGAAAUCCCUGAGCUCAACUCAGGAACUGCACUCGAAACUGCUUAUCUUGAGUGCCGGAGAGGAAAGCGGAAUACCUGGUGUAGAGGUGAAAUUCGUAGAUAUCAGGUGGAACACCAGUGGCGAAGGCGGCUUUCUGGACGGUAACUGACGCUGAGACGCGAAAGCGUGGGGAGCAAACA